CUUUGUUUCUAUUUUUGGGUAUUAGAAAAAUAUACAUAUGAACCUUAAAGACCUGAAAACAAUACUAGGUAACUAAUGCCAUCAUAACGUCAAAUAUAUGCACAAGCAAAAGCUUCUUUUAUGAGUUAAACUCCAGAGUGAUCACCAGGCAAACUUCAACAUGAAAGAUACGCCAAGUAUGAAAUGGAACAGAUAUGAAAUUUGAUGUUGCAUUAUUUAAGAUGUAAGAAAGGACUAUGAAGGAAUGCACAUCCAUAAAGACCUAAAAGUAGCUCAGGCUGAGAUUUUGAAUUGGGUAGUGCCAAAAGGAAUACAGUCUCGCACUUGGCAAAAGGAGAUCAUGCCAACAAGAUUUAUCUUACUUGGAUCCAGGAAUCAGUCUACCAGACACACGACUGUUUUGCUUCUUGGGAAUUAUAUUUGAAAAGUUUGGUUGCAAACCUUCCUCUUAUAUGGACAGGAACCACUAGGAUCUCAGUGCCAACCAAGAACUGUUGGUAAGUUAAGUGAUGAACAUGUUCGUCUUCUGGGUAGUGGAGAAAUAGGUGGCGGCAAACUGGGAGGCCUUUUUGAGCAGCUUCCUGUUUUCAAAUAAAUUUACAAUGAGAGAAGGGGGAGAAAGUUGGGAGGUGGGGGAACCAUCGCUUACUUCACCAAAUUUGAUAAUAAAUUAGUAUCCAGAGUUCUAGGAAUACCUUUACAAGUUGAAUUCUGUAAAACUUCCAUGCUUUGUACACUUUAGCAAGGCGAGCAAAUUGUGAUAAAGUUUGGUGGUUUGAGUAGAAUUGGCUAUUGCUGGAUGGCUUGUUCCCCUGCAUGGAAAAGACAGGUUUUUUAACUUACUUCAUGGGUCCGGAAGACAGUGGUGAAAGCAUUUAGCUCCAUCCAACGCAAAAGCAACUCUUCACUUCUUGUAUAGUUUAUAAAAGGUUUAAGCAUGUCAUGCAUUACCUGCAACCAAAAUGCUGAAACGGGAACAUUAUAAGUCCUUAGCUUAUCCCAAGUAUCGCGUACGGUUUCUGUGCCACCUUGCAUUCCAACCACAGCACCAGAUAUUAUCCACUCAGGAAGCACGGGAGGCCUCCCAAUGGUUUCUGUAAAAUGUUCAACGAGCUCAGAAGGUGAAUUCCCGUGCAAUAUCCGUCCUUGAACUGAGGUCCCAUGUAUCUGCAAGCCCCAGCAUACAGAAAAUGGGAAACUGCAUGUUUAAGAUCUCGAAUGAGCCCAUUAUUUAUAAAAUGGAAUUAUGGGCUUUUCCCUUUUAAAUUCUUAUUUAUGUUUUUGCAAAAGUCCCCCUAGUUAAUUACUAUUGACACCAUGUGAGCUUAUCCUUUUUUUUUUUUUUGGGUAUUAUUUAAGAAUAUGAAAUUCAUUACCAAUUACUAAUCCAAAUAGUUCUUCUAUAACAUCAUGAAAA
Quercus robur (English oak) is the source of this 1417-nucleotide long non-coding RNA. RefSeq lists it as uncharacterized. The record is from RefSeq and is a predicted model, not a curated record. NCBI's taxonomy places the organism in Eukaryota, Viridiplantae, Streptophyta, Magnoliopsida, Fagales, Fagaceae. The transcript has 6 exons.